This 71-nucleotide transfer RNA is filed under the name Phrynosoma platyrhinos (Desert horned lizard). RNAcentral describes it as "tRNA-OTHER". The record is from RNAcentral. Lineage: Eukaryota; Metazoa; Chordata; Lepidosauria; Squamata; Phrynosomatidae.
GCCAGCAUGGUGUAGUGGCUUGAGUAUUGGACUAUGACUCUGGAGACCUGGGUUCGAAACCCUGCUUGGCC